This 253-nucleotide ribosomal RNA is filed under the name uncultured bacterium. RNAcentral describes it as "partial 16S ribosomal RNA". It matches the Rfam family "Bacterial small subunit ribosomal RNA", at positions 524 to 776 of the family's 1533-position model. The record is from RNAcentral.
UACGGAGGGUGCAAGCGUUGUUCGGAAUCAUUGGGCGUAAAGCGCGUGUAGGCGGCUUGGCAAGUCGGUUGUGAAAGCCCGGGGCCCAACCCCGGAAUUGCAUCUGAAACUGCCUCGCUAGAGUCCCGGAGAGGAAGGCAGAAUUCCCGGUGUAGGGGUGAAAUCCGUAGAUAUCGGGAGGAAUACCAGCGGCGAAGGCGGCCUUCUGGACGGUGACUGACGCUGAGACGCGAAAGCUAGGGGAGCGAACAGG